UUAACGCGAAGAACCUUACCAGGACUUGACAUGGGGAGGCUGUGUCCAGAGAUGGGCAUUUCCCGCAAGGGACCUCCUGCACAGGUGCUGCAUGGCUGUCGUCAGCUCGUGUCGUGAGAUGUUGGGUUAAGUCCCGCAACGAGCGCAACCCUCGCCUUUAGUUGCCAGCAUGUUUGGGUGGGCACUCUAGAGGAACUGCCGGUGACAAGCCGGAGGAAGGUGGGGAUGACGUCAAGUCCUCAUGGCCCUUAUGUCCUGGGCUACACACGUGCUACAAUGGCGGUGACAGUGGGAAGCUAUGUGGCGACACAAUGCUGAUCUCUAAAAGCCGUCUCAGUUCGGAUUGCACUCUGCAACUCGAGUGCAUGAAGGUGGAAUCGGUAGUAAUCGCGGAUCAGCAUGCCGCGGGAUACGACGU
RNAcentral lists this ribosomal RNA (418 nucleotides) under Acetobacteraceae bacterium SB28. RNAcentral's name for it is "bacterial SSU rRNA". It matches the Rfam family "Bacterial small subunit ribosomal RNA", at positions 956 to 1370 of the family's 1533-position model. The record is from RNAcentral. Lineage: Bacteria; Pseudomonadati; Pseudomonadota; Alphaproteobacteria; Acetobacterales; Acetobacteraceae.